RNAcentral lists this small nucleolar RNA (107 nucleotides) under Sorghum bicolor (sorghum). RNAcentral describes it as "Plant small nucleolar RNA R71". It matches the Rfam family "Plant small nucleolar RNA R71". Rfam says of the family: R71 is a member of the C/D box family of snoRNAs containing the C (UGAUGA) and D (CUGA) box motifs. Multiple nearly identical copies of this snoRNA have been identified in Arabidopsis, and it is thought to function as a 2'-O-ribose methylation guide for 18S ribosomal RNA. The record is from Rfam by way of RNAcentral. Lineage: Eukaryota; Viridiplantae; Streptophyta; Magnoliopsida; Poales; Poaceae.
AUUCCAUGGUGAGGACAAUCUGAUAUGUAUCCUUGAAAACGCUCCCAUGCUUCUGAAAUGGUUUCUGUCUUCUGCUAUUGGAAACUGACAAUAUUCUUCUUAAGGCA